RNAcentral lists this ribosomal RNA (519 nucleotides) under uncultured bacterium. RNAcentral's name for it is "bacterial SSU rRNA". It matches the Rfam family "Bacterial small subunit ribosomal RNA", at positions 27 to 518 of the family's 1533-position model. The record is from RNAcentral.
GGACGAACGCUGGCGGCGUGCCUAAUACAUGCAAGUCGAACGGUCUUUCUAUGGAAGCUUGCUUCCACUGAGAAGAUAGUGGCGAACGGGUGAGUAACACGUGGGUAACCUGCCCAUAAGAGGGGGAUAACAUCCGGAAACGGGUGCUAAUACCGCAUAGUUUUCUUGAUUGCAUGAUUGAGAAAGGAAAGACGGCCUUUGUGCUGUCGCUUAUGGAUGGACCCGCGGCGUAUUAGUUAGUUGGUGAGGUAACGGCUCACCAAGACGAUGAUACGUAGCCGACCUGAGAGGGUGAUCGGCCACAUUGGGACUGAGACACGGCCCAAACUCCUACGGGAGGCAGCAGUAGGGAAUCUUCCGCAAUGGACGAAAGUCUGACGGAGCAACGCCGCGUGAGUGAAAGAAGGUUUUUCGGAUCGUAAAACUCUGUUGUCAGAGAAGAACAAGUUGGAGAGUAACUGCUCCAGCCUUGACGGUAUCUGACCAGAAAGCCACGGCUAACUACGUGCCAGCCGCGGC